RNAcentral lists this ribosomal RNA (468 nucleotides) under uncultured bacterium. RNAcentral's name for it is "partial 16S ribosomal RNA". It matches the Rfam family "Bacterial small subunit ribosomal RNA", at positions 28 to 507 of the family's 1533-position model. The record is from RNAcentral.
GACGAACGCUGGCGGCGUGCUUAACACAUGCAAGUCGAACGGAAAGGCCCUGCUUUUGUGGGGUGCUCGAGUGGCGAACGGGUGAGUAACAUGUGAGUAACCUGCCCUUGACUUUGGGAUAACUUCAGGAAACUGGGGCUAAUCCCGGACAGCAGCCACUGCUGCAUGGUGAGGGUUGGAAAGUUUCGGCGGUUGGGGAUGGACUCGCGGCUUAUCAGCUUGUUGGUGGGGUAGUGGCUUACCAAGGCUUUGACGGGUAGCCGGCCUGAGAGGGUGACCGGCCACAAUGGGACUGAGAUACGGCCCAGACUCCUACGGGAGGCAGCAGUGGGGAAUAUUGCGCAAUGGGCGGAAGCCUGAUGCAGCAACGCCGCGUGCGGGAUGACGGCCUUCGGGUUGUAAACCGCUUUCGGCUGUGACGAAGCGUGAGUGACGGUAAUGGAUAAAGAAGCACCGGCUAACUACGUG